GCACUUGUAACAUUGUGGUAAAGACCUUUCCCAAAUCUUCAUUUACGAAGACUGGCCAUGAUGAUGGUGAUGAGAUUCUACUCCUCCCAAGGGCUGUGGAACAUCACAGAGAGAACCCUCUCCUUUCUUCCUCUGCCCUCUGCUGAGGCCUCCUGUUUUGACCAAAUUUGUGCUACCAUCACUAUGUAGAUGACCACAACUACUUGUACAGAGGCCAUGAGUCAGUAGAAAAGUGAGUUCCUAUCUACAGGAAUACACUUCAUCAGUGAUGUGCUUUGGUGAACAGAGACUAAAACUGGACCUAGAAUCUCUGCUUUAAGCUGCCAUUGCCGGUGGACACACCAAGAGCUAGUGCAAAACACCUGAAUUAGAGAAAGUUAAGUGGCUGCACCGUGACAGGUGACAUGAAUUUAUAAUGGAA
Long non-coding RNA from Chiroxiphia lanceolata (lance-tailed manakin), 421 nucleotides. RefSeq lists it as uncharacterized. The transcript is spliced from 4 exons. Lineage: Eukaryota; Metazoa; Chordata; Aves; Passeriformes; Pipridae. The record is from RefSeq and is a predicted model, not a curated record.